GUACGAGAGGACCGGAGUGGACGCAUCACUGGUGUUCGGGUUGUCAUGCCAAUGGCACUGCCCGGUAGCUAAAUGCGGAAGAGAUAAGUGCUGAAAGCAUCUAAGCACGAAACUUGCCCCGAGAUGAGUUCUCCCUGAGACUUAGAGUCUCCUGAAGGAACGUUGAAGACGACGACGUUGAUAGGCCGGGUGUGUAAGCGCAGCGAUGCGUUGAGCUAACCGGUACUAAUGAACCGUGAGGCUUAACCUU
This 250-nucleotide ribosomal RNA is filed under the name Salmonella enterica. Its description in RNAcentral is "partial 23S ribosomal RNA". It matches the Rfam family "Bacterial large subunit ribosomal RNA", at positions 2681 to 2925 of the family's 2925-position model. The record is from RNAcentral. RNAcentral also lists the same sequence under 2 other names. Lineage: Bacteria; Pseudomonadati; Pseudomonadota; Gammaproteobacteria; Enterobacterales; Enterobacteriaceae.